RNAcentral lists this ribosomal RNA (253 nucleotides) under uncultured bacterium. Its description in RNAcentral is "partial 16S ribosomal RNA". It matches the Rfam family "Bacterial small subunit ribosomal RNA", at positions 524 to 776 of the family's 1533-position model. The record is from RNAcentral.
GACGUAGGGCGCGAGCGUUGUCCGGAUUUAUUGGGCGUAAAGAGCUCGUAGGCGGCUCGUUGCGUCGGCUGUGAAAACCCGCAGCUCAACUGUGGGCUUGCAGCUGAUACGGGCGGGCUGGAGUUCGGUAGGGGAGACUGGAAUUCCUGGUGUAGCGGUGAAAUGCGCAGAUAUCAGGAGGAACACCGGUGGCGAAGGCGGGUCGCUGGGCCGAUACUGACGCUGAGGAGCGAAAGCGUGGGGAGCGAACAGG